UGGUGGUGUGGAUUGUCUGGUUGAUUCCGUUAACGAACGAGACCUUUUCCUAUUAAAUAGAUACUGGAAGAUAUUGCGCUAUGGCCAGGGGGGGCCAAUGUGUGGAAGGAUCCGUUCCCCUCGCAUUGCUCGUUCCUCCUGGUUGCACUUUUUCCAGGAUAUUCUUCUUAGAGGGACUAUUUGUGAUAAGCAAAUGGAAGUUAAAGGCAAAAACAA
This 216-nucleotide ribosomal RNA is filed under the name uncultured eukaryote. RNAcentral describes it as "partial 18S ribosomal RNA". It matches the Rfam family "Eukaryotic small subunit ribosomal RNA", at positions 1299 to 1458 of the family's 1831-position model. The record is from RNAcentral.